UAAGUGGCGACCGGGUGAGUAACACGUGACUAACCUACCCUUGAAUGGGGAAUAACCUUCCGAAAGGAGGGCUAAUACCGCAUAACCUCCUAAGGAUGAAACGCCUAGGGACCAAAGGAGCAAUUCGUUUAAGGAGGGGGUCGCGGUUGAUUAGCUAGUUGGUGGGGUAAUGGCCCACCAAGGCGAUGAUCAAUAGCCGGCCUGAGAGGGCGCACGGCCACACUGGAACUGAAACACGGUCCAG
Molecule: ribosomal RNA, 244 nt
Filed under: uncultured bacterium
Lineage: Bacteria
Description: partial 16S ribosomal RNA
Rfam family: Bacterial small subunit ribosomal RNA
Source: RNAcentral